RNAcentral lists this ribosomal RNA (328 nucleotides) under uncultured Gammaproteobacteria bacterium. RNAcentral describes it as "bacterial SSU rRNA". It matches the Rfam family "Bacterial small subunit ribosomal RNA", at positions 46 to 368 of the family's 1533-position model. Lineage: Bacteria; Pseudomonadati; Pseudomonadota; Gammaproteobacteria. The record is from RNAcentral.
AGGCCUAACACAUGCAAGUCGAGCGGUAACAGGACUAGCUUGCUAGUUGCUGACGAGCGGCGGACGGGUGCGUAACACGUAGGAAUCUGCCCGGUAGUGGGGGAUAGCCCGGAGAAAUCCGGAUUAAUACCGCAUACGCCUUACGAGGGAAAGAAGGGGCCUCUUCGGAGCCUUUCGCUAUCGGAUGAGCCUGCGUCGGAUUAGCUAGUUGGUGGGGUAAAGGCCUACCAAGGCGACGAUCCGUAGCUGGUCUGAGAGGAUGAUCAGCCACACUGGGACUGAGACACGGCCCAGACUCCUACGGGAGGCAGCAGUGGGGAAUAUUGCA